CCUACGGGAGGCAGCAGUGGGGAAUAUUGCACAAUGGGGGAAACCCUGAUGCAGCGACGCCGCGUGAAGGAAGAAGUAUUUCGGUAUGUAAACUGCUAUCAGCAGGGAAGAAAAUGACGGUACAUGACUAAGAAGCCCCGGCUAACUACGUGCCAGCAGCCGCGGUAAUACGUAGGGGGCAAGCGUUAUCCGGAUUUACUGGGUGUAAAGGGAGCGUAGGCGGUUUAGCAAGUCAGAAGUGAAAGCCCGGGGCUCAAAUCCGGGACUGCUUUUGAAACUGGUGAACUAGAUUGCAGGAGAGGUAAGUGGAAUUCCUAGUGUAGCGGUGGAAUGCGUAGAUAUUAGGAGGAACACCAGUGGCGAAGGCGGCUUACUGGACUGUAAAUGACGCUGAGGCUCGAAAGCGUGGGGAGCAAACAGGAUUAGAUACCCGUGUAGUC
RNAcentral lists this ribosomal RNA (440 nucleotides) under uncultured bacterium. RNAcentral describes it as "partial 16S ribosomal RNA". It matches the Rfam family "Bacterial small subunit ribosomal RNA", at positions 338 to 795 of the family's 1533-position model. The record is from RNAcentral.